AUUGAACGCUGGCGGCAGGCCUAACACAUGCAAGUCGAACGAGUGGCGGACGGGUGAGUAAUGUCUGGGAAACUGCCUGAUAGAGGGGGAUAACUACUGGAAACGGUAGCUAAUACCGCAUACUAUCAGAUGGGCCCAAAUGGGAUUAGCUAGUGGGGGGGGUAACGGCUCACCAAGGCGACGAUCCCUAGCUGGUUUGAGAGGAUGAACAGCCAAACUGGAACUGAGACACGGGCCAGACUCAUACGGGAGUCAGCAGUGGGGAAUAUUGCACAAUGGGAGAAAGCCUGAUGCAGCCAUGCCGCGUGUAUGAAGAAGGCCUUCGGGUUGUAAAGUACUUUCAGCGGGGAGGCGUUACCCGCAGAAGAAGCACCGGCUAACUCCGUGCCAGCAGCCGCGGUAAUUC
RNAcentral lists this ribosomal RNA (406 nucleotides) under uncultured bacterium. RNAcentral's name for it is "partial 16S ribosomal RNA". It matches the Rfam family "Bacterial small subunit ribosomal RNA", at positions 30 to 526 of the family's 1533-position model. The record is from RNAcentral.